UUUGAAACACAAGUUCACGUACGAUCCCCAAAGUCAAGCAAUAUCGAGCCUGGUCAGUACUUAAAUGGGUGAGUGAUUGGGAAUCGCAGGUGGU
Molecule: non-coding RNA, 94 nt
Organism: Acanthosepion pharaonis
Lineage: Eukaryota; Metazoa; Mollusca; Cephalopoda; Sepiida; Sepiidae
Source: the annotation of a GenBank genome assembly